This 285-nucleotide ribosomal RNA is filed under the name uncultured Oscillospiraceae bacterium. RNAcentral's name for it is "partial 16S ribosomal RNA". It matches the Rfam family "Bacterial small subunit ribosomal RNA", at positions 59 to 339 of the family's 1533-position model. The record is from RNAcentral. Lineage: Bacteria; Bacillati; Bacillota; Clostridia; Eubacteriales; Oscillospiraceae.
AAGUCGAACGGGGUAAGGAGAGCUUGCUCGAAUUACCUAGUGGCGGACGGGUGAGUAACACGUGAGCAACCUACCUAACAGAGGGGGAUAACGUCUGGAAACGGACGCUAAUACCGCAUAAAAUAUAUGUAAGGCAUCUUAGAUAUAUCAAAGGAGGAAUCCGCUGAUAGAUGGGCUCGCGGCCGAUUAGAUAGUUGGCGGGGUAACGGCCCACCAAGUCGACGAUCGGUAGCCGGACUGAGAGGUUGGACGGCCACAUUGGGACUGAGACACGGCCCAGACUCC